Non-coding RNA from Parastrongyloides trichosuri, 88 nucleotides. The record is from Rfam. NCBI's taxonomy places the organism in Eukaryota, Metazoa, Nematoda, Chromadorea, Rhabditida, Strongyloididae.
CCAACCAUAGCUCAGUUGGUAGAGCGGAGGACUGUAGANUUAUAAAAUAGUUAUCCUUAGGUCACUGGUUCAAAUCCGGUUGGUUGGA